AAACACUGAGAGAGAAAGAACAACUUGUCAGGUGGUGCAUUGGAGACUGAUGUGUUCCUGUCCUGUCUUUUCAUAAUACUAUUGCAGAUCGACAUAAAAGCCUAAAAGACAGCCGUGGUGUUGCUCUUCAUUUCUUGGUUCUCCUGUGGUGCAUAAGAAACCCGCUACAGAUUGGUGCCGUGACCCGGAUCAACAGAUCAGCUGCAGCAGAUCGCCGAGGGACCCCUAAACAGAACUGGAUCGACAUCACACGUUUAAAACAUUUGAGGGCAAGGUGCAGGCCUAUUGAAAAUUGGACCGUUGGAGAUUUGCAGGCAAUGAU
This 322-nucleotide long non-coding RNA is filed under the name Salmo salar (Atlantic salmon). RNAcentral's name for it is "lncRNA (ENSSSAG00000096116.1)". Lineage: Eukaryota; Metazoa; Chordata; Actinopteri; Salmoniformes; Salmonidae. The record is from RNAcentral.